This 549-nucleotide ribosomal RNA is filed under the name uncultured bacterium. RNAcentral's name for it is "bacterial SSU rRNA". It matches the Rfam family "Bacterial small subunit ribosomal RNA", at positions 356 to 896 of the family's 1533-position model. The record is from RNAcentral.
AGGGAAUCUUCGGCAAUGGGGGCAACCCUGACCGAGCAACGCCGCGUGAGUGAAGAAGGUUUUCGGAUCGUAAAGCUCUGUUGUAAGAGAAGAACGAGUGUGAGAGUGGAAAGUUCACACUGUGACGGUAACUUACCAGAAAGGGACGGCUAACUACGUGCCAGCAGCCGCGGUAAUACGUAGGUCCCGAGCGUUAUCCGGAUUUAUUGGGCGUAAAGCGAGCGCAGGCGGUUAGAUAAGUCUGAAGUUAAAGGCUGUGGCUUAACCAUAGUACGCUUUGGAAACUGUUUAACUUGAGUGCAGAAGGGGAGAGUGGAAUUCCAUGUGUAGCGGUGAAAUGCGUAGAUAUAUGGAGGAACACCGGUGGCGAAAGCGGCUCUCUGGUCUGUAACUGACGCUGAGGCUCGAAAGCGUGGGGAGCAAACAGGAUUAGAUACCCUGGUAGUCCACGCCGUAAACGAUGAGUGCUAGGUGUUGGGUCCUUUCCGGGACUCAGUGCCGCAGCUAACGCAUUAAGCACUCCGCCUGGGGAGUACGACCGCAAGGUUG